Molecule: ribosomal RNA, 678 nt
Filed under: Arthrobacter sp. UAPS0108
Lineage: Bacteria; Bacillati; Actinomycetota; Actinomycetes; Micrococcales; Micrococcaceae
Description: bacterial SSU rRNA
Rfam family: Bacterial small subunit ribosomal RNA
Source: RNAcentral
AUGAUCCGGUGCUUGCACCGGGGAUUAGUGGCGAACGGGUGAGUAACACGUGAGUAACCUGCCCUUGACUCUGGGAUAAGCCUGGGAAACUGGGUCUAAUACCGGAUAUGACUCCUCAUCGCAUGGUGGGGGGUGGAAAGCUUUUGUGGUUUUGGAUGGACUCGCGGCCUAUCAGCUUGUUGGUGAGGUAAUGGCUCACCAAGGCGACGACGGGUAGCCGGCCUGAGAGGGUGACCGGCCACACUGGGACUGAGACACGGCCCAGACUCCUACGGGAGGCAGCAGUGGGGAAUAUUGCACAAUGGGCGCAAGCCUGAUGCAGCGACGCCGCGUGAGGGAUGACGGCCUUCGGGUUGUAAACCUCUUUCAGUAGGGAAGAAGCGAAAGUGACGGUACCUGCAGAAGAAGCGCCGGCUAACUACGUGCCAGCAGCCGCGGUAAUACGUAGGGCGCAAGCGUUAUCCGGAAUUAUUGGGCGUAAAGAGCUCGUAGGCGGUUUGUCGCGUCUGCCGUGAAAGUCCGGGGCUCAACUCCGGAUCUGCGGUGGGUACGGGCAGACUAGAGUGAUGUAGGGGAGACUGGAAUUCCUGGUGUAGCGGUGAAAUGCGCAGAUAUCAGGAGGAACACCGAUGGCGAARGCAGGUCUCUGGGCAUWANNYGACGCUGMGNAGCKAVVGC